RNAcentral lists this ribosomal RNA (544 nucleotides) under uncultured bacterium. Its description in RNAcentral is "bacterial SSU rRNA". It matches the Rfam family "Bacterial small subunit ribosomal RNA", at positions 775 to 1312 of the family's 1533-position model. The record is from RNAcentral.
AGAUAAUAGAUACCCGGGUAGUCCAUGCCGUAAACGUUGGGCACUAGGUGUGGGGGACAUUCCACGUUUUCCGCGCCGUAGCUAAACGCAUUAAGUGCCCCGCCUGGGGAGUACGGCCGCAAGGCUAAAACUCAAAGGAAUUGACGGGGGCCCGCACAAGCGGCGGAGCAUGCGGAUUAAUUCGAUGCAACGCGAAGAACCUUACCAAGGCUUGACAUGGACCGGAUCGCUGCAGAAAUGUGGUUUCUCCUUUGGGGCCGGUUCACAGGUGGUGCAUGGUUGUCGUCAGCUCGUGUCGUGAGAUGUUGGGUUAAGUCCCGCAACGAGCGCAACCCUCGUUCCAUGUUGCCAGCACGUGAUGGUGGGGACUCAUGGGAGACUGCCGGGGUCAACUCGGAGGAAGGUGGGGACGACGUCAAAUCAUCAUGCCCCGUUAUGUCUUGGGCUUCACGCAUGCUACAAUGGCCGGUACAAAGGGUUUGCGAUACUGUGAGGUGGAGCUAAUCCCAAAAGCCGGUCUCAGUUCGGAUUGGGGUCUGCAACU